GGAUCACGCGCCAGCGGUUGCGUCGUGGGUCCGCGCACGGGCGGCGGCGGCACGACCGACAUGAGGCGCUCGCGCGUCGUCAUGCAGUAGCCGGGUCCAAAGACGCAGGGCGACUCGGGGCGCGGCCCGUCGGCGCGCUCGUUCAAGACGCCGAGCGCGUACAGGGCAAUCCUUACCUCAACAGUAAGCAUUUCAACCAAUUCACCGUGGCCGGCGAGUCGCAUGCGAUCGAGAAAGACAUCGACGGCCGCCGCUGCGCGCUCACGAAGCCGCUCCUCAUAGGCCUUGAUCGCAGCAGCGUAGCGCGCAUUUUGGCAUAGGGUGGUGGUCGCGUGCCAUGUCGUUCUUUGCUCUGUGCUGCGCGCGACCACGGGGGUCGCUCGUGCCGCCUCAUCCUUGACCGCGACGGCCAAGGGGUCACUGCCGGCGACAGAUGGCGACGGCACAGGCGCGCGGGGUCGCACGAGGCGGCGCGCAUUCACUCCCACAUCGGGACGCGCCCAUGCGCACAGAUAGCGUGCAUGGUUGCCCAUUACCCACCGGCGGCGAACAAUAGUGUCGAGGACUGGAUCGGCGUCGGGCGUGCACCAACGCGUCGAGCGACGGAACCAGCGGUCGAGCAGGUCCUGGUCCCACAGGCCAUAGACGACAUCGCGCGGAUCGACGACGUCGCCCUUGGUGUCAGAGUAAAAGGCCAUGGCCAACUCUUCGUCGGUGGGCGUCACGGGCACGUCCGGCGCCGCCAUGUCGAUGCGCACGCGGCGGCCGUCGCUGCCCACGACAAAGUGCGAUCGCUUGGUAUAGGCCUUGCGCACCUCCUUGGCAUAGGCCCGCUCCCAGUAGUCGCGGCACCAUUUGUCAUCCUUGUCAGGGUGCGUUGCCGGCAUGCGAGUCCACGCGUCGUGUGCGCUCAUCGAGUUGUCGUGAUCAUGAUCGCCGUGAUCAUACCACGACGUAAACAUGUGGAUGGGCGACACAUAGUCGGGGAUCGGCGGCGCGGCGGCGGAUGAGAGCGGCAUCGUGGCACGCCCGCGCUUGCCCUUGGCCUUGACGCGCACAUGCGUCGUGAUCGUGGUCGCGCCGGCGUUGCCGCCAAGUUUUGCCGGUAGCGGCGGCGCGGGCUCGGAGCGUGCUGCCGCUGCCACGGCACGGCGGCGCGUGUCUGCACGCUUGCUCUUGCUGCCGACAAACCGCAAGAUCGGCGGUUGGCCGACCGUGCCCUCGGGCACCAUGUACGACGUGAGCAUCGACGGCAUGGGUCUGGCGGGCGGCGGCUUGGGUCGAGAUCUACGGUUCGAUGCGGUCCGAGCGGUAGCCGUAUUGUUGGUGGCAGGCGCGGCGGUGGUGCCCGGCGCGUGCGCCGUGUCGGCGCCAAGAGGCGAUGACUGGGGGCCUGUGCCCACUUGGUGUUCCAUCCUACAAGUCCUUGAGGUAGAGGAAAAAAAAAGAUGGCAACAACAAUACAAAAAAAAAGAAAAAGAUGGCCUAAAUAAAAAAAGAGGAAACCCUCAGCAGGAAAUAGAGUGAAAGAGUCCAAGUGCCUGUCGCUGUUUGUGUGUCUGUGCGUGAUCUCGCGCAAUGCGCAUAUCGAGCCAUUGC
This 1599-nucleotide long non-coding RNA is filed under the name Pandoravirus quercus. RNAcentral describes it as "hypothetical ncRNA". The record is from RNAcentral.